UUAAAGAUGCAUGAAGGAAUGAAGGGAGAAGAUGUGUAUGCAGGCACAUCACCAAAGACAAGAGAUGCAGACUUCCAGGAGUGAAAUAACAGAAAACAACCAGUGACUCACCGUGACACUGGAAAUGGCUGUGAAGAACGCAGAAUGCUGAGAGCCAACUGUCCAAUGGAUGAACAUGAGAAAGAACUAAGACAACCCCUCGAUUUCCUAAAUAUGCCAAAGGAAAGCCUCCCUUGGGGAAUGGCUGAUGCUUGGAAUAUAGAUGGCAUGUAUAAUUACUUAGUUUACAAACUGGGGUCAGUUUGACAUUAUAUGAUAAGCUGUAAGGAGAAGAAAUCUUCUUACCUCUCUACGUUCCUAAUUUGGCUGUAAAUG
RNAcentral lists this long non-coding RNA (375 nucleotides) under Homo sapiens (human). RNAcentral describes it as "HSALNT0022155". Lineage: Eukaryota; Metazoa; Chordata; Mammalia; Primates; Hominidae. The record is from RNAcentral.